Molecule: ribosomal RNA, 472 nt
Filed under: uncultured bacterium
Lineage: Bacteria
Description: SSU rRNA
Rfam family: Bacterial small subunit ribosomal RNA
Source: RNAcentral
AGGAUAAACGCUGGCGGCGUGCAUGAGACAUGCAAGUCGAACGGACACUCGGGGCUUGCUCCGAGUGUUAGUGGCGGACGGCUGAGUAACGCGUAGGUGACCUGCCCCGAAGUGGGGAAUAACUGCCCGAAAGGGUGGCUAAUACCGCAUGUGGUGGAACGUUCAUUCGUUCCAGUAAAGCCGCAAGGCGCUUCGGGAGGGGCCUGCGUCCGAUUAGCUCGUUGGUGGGGUAACGGCUCACCAAGGCGACGAUCGGUAGGUGGUCUGAGAGGACGAUCACCCAGACUGGGACUGAGACACGGCCCAGACUCCUACGGGAGGCAGCAGUCGGGAAUUUUGCGCAAUGGACGAAAGUCUGACGCAGCAACGCCGCGUGAGGGAUGACGGCCUUCGGGUUGUAACCUCUUUUAUCAGGACGAUAAUGACGGUACCUGAUGAAUAAGUCGACGGCUAACUACGUGCCAGCAGCCGC